Molecule: ribosomal RNA, 292 nt
Filed under: uncultured bacterium
Lineage: Bacteria
Description: partial 16S ribosomal RNA
Rfam family: Bacterial small subunit ribosomal RNA
Source: RNAcentral
GUGCCAGCCGCCGCGGUAAUACAGAGGUCCCAAGCGUUGUUCGGAUUCACUGGGCGUAAAGGGUGCGUAGGUGGUCGGGUAAGUCUGAUGUGAAAUCUCCGAGCUCAACUCGGAAACUGCAUCGGAUACUAUUCGGCUCGAGGAUCGGAGGGGAGACUGGAAUUCUCGGUGUAGCAGUGAAAUGCGUAGAUAUCGAGAGGAACACCAGUGGCGAAGGCGAGUCUCUGGACGAUUCCUGACGCUGAGGCACGAAAGCUAGGGGAGCAAACAGGAUUAGAUACCCGCGUAGUCC